CCUACGGGUGGCAGCAGUGAGGAAUAUUGGUCAAUGGCCGAGAGGCUGAACCAGCCACGUCGCGUGAGGGAAGACGGCCCUACGGGUUGUAAAUCUCUUUUUUCGGGGAGCAAAGAGAGUCACGUGUGACUGAUUGAGAGUACCCGAAGAAAAAGCAUCGGCUAACGCCGUGCCAUCAGCCGCGGUAAUACGGGGGAUGCGAGCGUUAUCCGGAUUGAUUGGGUGAAAAGGGUGCGCAGGCGGAGGUGCAAGUCAGCGGUCAAAUUGCGGGGCUCAACCCCGGACUGCCGUUGAAACUGCAUCCCUUGAGUGCGCGAGAAGUAUGCGGAAUUCGUGGUGUAGCGGUGAAAUGCAUAGAUAUCACGCAGAACUCCGAUUGCGAAGGCAGCAUACCGGCGCGCAACUGACGCUCAUGCACGAAAGCGUGGGUAUCGAACAGGAUUAGAUACCCUUGUAGUC
This 459-nucleotide ribosomal RNA is filed under the name uncultured bacterium. RNAcentral describes it as "partial 16S ribosomal RNA". It matches the Rfam family "Bacterial small subunit ribosomal RNA", at positions 338 to 795 of the family's 1533-position model. The record is from RNAcentral.